This 429-nucleotide ribosomal RNA is filed under the name Bacteroidota bacterium. RNAcentral's name for it is "Bacteroidetes bacterium partial 16S ribosomal RNA". It matches the Rfam family "Bacterial small subunit ribosomal RNA", at positions 355 to 776 of the family's 1533-position model. The record is from RNAcentral. Lineage: Bacteria; Pseudomonadati; Bacteroidota.
UAGGGAAUCUUCCGCAAUGGACGCAAGUCUGACGGAGCAACGCCGCGUGAGUGAAGAAGGAUUUCGGUUCGUAAAGCUCUGUUGUUAGAGAAGAACAGCGCAUAGAGUAACUGUUAUGCGUGUGACGGUAUCUAACCAGAAAGCCACGGCUAACUACGUGCCAGCAGCCGCGGUAAUACGUAGGUGGCAAGCGUUGUCCGGAUUUAUUGGGCGUAAAGCGAGCGCAGGCGGUCAAUUAAGUCUGAUGUGAAAGCCCCCGGCUCAACCGGGGAGGGUCAUUGGAAACUGGUUGACUUGAGUGCAGAAGAGGAGAGUGGAAUUCCAUGUGUAGCGGUGAAAUGCGUAGAUAUAUGGAGGAACACCAGUGGCGAAGGCGACUCUCUGGUCUGUAACUGACGCGGAGGCUCGAAAGCGUGGGUAGCAAACAGG